Molecule: transfer RNA, 71 nt
Filed under: Candidatus Woesearchaeota archaeon
Lineage: Archaea; Nanobdellati; Candidatus Woesearchaeota
Description: tRNA-His
Rfam family: tRNA
About the family: Transfer RNA (tRNA) molecules are approximately 80 nucleotides in length.
Source: RNAcentral
ACGAUCAUAGUGUAAUGGUAACAUAGGAGACUGUGGAUCUCCAGUCGCGGGUUCGAUUCCCGCUGAUCGUC